GGUCCAGUGGAGCCUCAAAGAGCGAGGAAUGAAUGAACGAACGAACGAACACGCGGCUCCCUGGGGACCCAGGCUCGAUGUAGAGAUGGGGCGAGGGACACCCCACUGGGCAGGAGAGAAAGGGGCAUCUACAAUUGGCCACCUGCUAAGAGACCCUAAAACGCCGCAGUGGGGCGGUGCUAGGGGAGGAGCCAAGAAGGCGCCAAGCCUCCUCUGGACCCUCCCCAGAUAGCGUGGAAGCUCCGUAGUCAGGAAGGAUCUGGCCCAAGUACCGACCGACUCCCGGACCCGGUGGGCUCCACCCAGACGGACGCCCCGCCCCCGACCAACUAAGCUGGCCGCUGACCUAGUAUGGACAGAGCGCUGGGAAGAGAGGCGUGGAGGGCGACACCGGAAAAGGGACUAAGUCCCAGACACCAGCUAUGGGCCUCCCCUUUCUCCCCACAGAGGAUGCACCUGCUGCGGUGUGUGGAGGGGGGGGGGCGGUAAGGAGAUGAUUGCGCAGCAGCUGUAAAGCUCUCCAAGAGCUAAAAAUAUUUUGCAACAGAGAGAAGAGUAAGGAAGGUCAUGGAGAGUCGAUUUAUUGGGGAGUGGGUGCACUUGGUUAGACCCCAUACAUAAAUAAAGGGGGUAGGGAGUUGAGGGAAAAGAAGAGGGCAGGGUCUUUAGUCACACUGGCAUCAGGACCUAGAGACUGGUAAAAGAGGCUUCCAAAAGGGGGAGGGUAGAGAUGUAAUUCCAGGGGCCCAACCCCUGGAGUGGGCCUGAUUCCGGGAAUUGCAAACAGACUCAAAGGCAGGUAUGGGGUCUG
This is a non-coding RNA of Rattus norvegicus (Norway rat), 811 nucleotides long. NCBI's taxonomy places the organism in Eukaryota, Metazoa, Chordata, Mammalia, Rodentia, Muridae. The record is from RefSeq and is a predicted model, not a curated record.